This 218-nucleotide ribosomal RNA is filed under the name uncultured bacterium. Its description in RNAcentral is "partial 16S ribosomal RNA". It matches the Rfam family "Bacterial small subunit ribosomal RNA", at positions 524 to 739 of the family's 1533-position model. The record is from RNAcentral.
UACGGAGGGGGCUAGCGUUGUCCGGAAUUAUUGGGCGUAAAGAGCUCGUAGGCGGUGUGUCACGUCGGCCGUGAAAACCUGCAGCUUAACUGUGGGCGUGCGGUCGAUACGGGCAUCACUGGAGUUCGGCAGGGGAGACUGGAAUUCCUGGUGUAGCGGUGAAAUGCGCAGAUAUCAGGAGGAACACCGGUGGCGAAGGCGGGGUCUCUGGGCCGAUA